This 492-nucleotide ribosomal RNA is filed under the name uncultured bacterium. Its description in RNAcentral is "partial 16S ribosomal RNA". It matches the Rfam family "Bacterial small subunit ribosomal RNA", at positions 29 to 507 of the family's 1533-position model. The record is from RNAcentral.
AGUGAACGCUGGCGGUAGGCCUAACACAUGCAAGUCGAACGGCAGCACAGUAAGAGCUUGCUCUUACGGGUGGCGAGUGGCGGACGGGUGAGGAAUACAUCGGAAUCUACUUUUUCGUGGGGGAUAACGUAGGGAAACGUACGCUAAUACCGCAUACGACCUACGGGUGAAAGCAGGGGAUCUUCGGACCUUGCGCGAUUGAAUGAGCCGAUGUCGGAUUAGCUAGUUGGCGGGGUAAAGGCCCACCAAGGCGACGAUCCGUAGCUGGUCUGAGAGGAUGAUCAGCCACACUGGAACUGAGACACGGUCGAGACUCCUACGGGAGGCAGCAGUGGGGAAUAUUGGACAAUGGGCGCAAGCCUGAUCCAGCCAUACCGCGUGGGUGAAGAAGGCCUUCGGGUUGUAAAGCCCUUUUGUUGGGAAAGAAAAGCAGCAGGUUAAUACCCCGCUGUUCUGACGGUACCCAAAGAAUAAGCACCGGCUAACUUCGUG